AGUGAACGCUGGCGGCAGGCCUAACACAUGCAAGUCGAACGAACACACCGUAAGUUUUCGCCUCUGCGGGUGGCGCCGGGCGGACGGGUAACACAUGCAUAGCCUACCUCUAAGACGUGGGUGAUAACGUCGAACCGGCGCUACUACCGCAGAAUAUAUCGAACCGAAGGAUGCAAGAGUGAAAUUCGCUUUUUGCGUCAGUAAUAGAUGAAUCCGGCUCGGAUUAGUUAGUUGGUAAAGUAACGGCCUAGCAAGGCAACGAAGCGUAGCGGACCUGAGAGGGUGAACGGGCACACUGGAACUGAGGCACGGUCCAGACUCCUACGGGAGGCAGCAGUAGGGAAUCUUGCGCAAUGGGCGAAAGCCUGAUCCAGCAAAACCGCGUGAGUGAUGAAGGUCUUCGGAUUGUAAAACUAUGUUGUUAGGAAAGAAAAAAAGUGUGUUUACCUCGGACCGUAUUGACGGUACCCAAAGAAAAAGCCCCGGCUAACUUCGUG
RNAcentral lists this ribosomal RNA (497 nucleotides) under uncultured bacterium. RNAcentral describes it as "partial 16S ribosomal RNA". It matches the Rfam family "Bacterial small subunit ribosomal RNA", at positions 29 to 507 of the family's 1533-position model. The record is from RNAcentral.